AUUGAACGCUGGCGGCAGGCCUAACACAUGCAAGUCGAGCGGAAGAAGGGAGCUUGCUCCUGGAUUCAGCGGCGGACGGGUGAGUAAUGCCUAGGAAUCUGCCUGGUAGUGGGGGAUAACGUCCGGAAACGGGCGCUAAUACCGCAUACGUCCUGAGGGAGAAAGUGGGGGAUCUUCGGACCUCACGCUAUCAGAUGAGCCUAGGUCGGAUUAGCUAGUUGGUGGGGUAAAGGCCUACCAAGGCGACGAUCCGUAACUGGUCUGAGAGGAUGAUCAGUCACACUGGAACUGAGACACGGUCCAGACUCCUACGGGAGGCAGCAGUGGGGAAUAUUGGACAAUGGGCGAAAGCCUGAUCCAGCCAUGCCGCGUGUGUGAAGAAGGUCUUCGGAUUGUAAAGCACUUUAAGUUGUGAGGAAGGGCAGUAAGUUAAUACCUUGCUGUUUUGACGUUACCAACAGAAUAAGCACCGGCUAACUUCGUG
RNAcentral lists this ribosomal RNA (484 nucleotides) under uncultured bacterium. Its description in RNAcentral is "partial 16S ribosomal RNA". It matches the Rfam family "Bacterial small subunit ribosomal RNA", at positions 30 to 507 of the family's 1533-position model. The record is from RNAcentral.